This 483-nucleotide ribosomal RNA is filed under the name uncultured bacterium. Its description in RNAcentral is "bacterial SSU rRNA". It matches the Rfam family "Bacterial small subunit ribosomal RNA", at positions 8 to 486 of the family's 1533-position model. The record is from RNAcentral.
AGAGUUUGAUCCUGGCUCAGAUUGAACGCUGGCGGCAUGCCUUACACAUGCAAGUCGAACGGCAGCACGGGAGCAAUCCUGGUGGCGAGUGGCGAACGGGUGAGUAAUGUAUCGGAACGUACCUUUCAGUGGGGGAUAACAUAGCGAAAGUUACGCUAAUACCGCAUAUUCUGUGAGCAGGAAAGCAGGGGAUCGCAAGACCUUGCGCUGAUUGAGCGGCCGAUAUCAGAUUAGCUAGUUGGUGAGGUAAAGGCUCACCAAGGCGACGAUCUGUAGCGGGUCUGAGAGGAUGAUCCGCCACACUGGAACUGAGACACGGUCCAGACUCCUACGGGAGGCAGCAGUGGGGAAUUUUGGACAAUGGGCGCAAGCCUGAUCCAGCCAUGCCGCGUGAGUGAAGAAGGCCUUCGGGUUGUAAAGCUCUUUCGGCCGGGAAGAAAUCGCAUGGGUUAAUACCCUGUGCGGAUGACGGUACCGGCAUAA